This 576-nucleotide unclassified non-coding RNA is filed under the name Hevea brasiliensis (rubber tree). The record is from RNAcentral. Lineage: Eukaryota; Viridiplantae; Streptophyta; Magnoliopsida; Malpighiales; Euphorbiaceae.
GGGAUAUAUAAGAAAUAUACAUUUUCCUUGCACUUUAUUUUCCAAUUUGGAGUAAAUUUAUACAAGAGAAUUUACACUUUUAUACAAGAGUAUUAUUUUACACUUACUUUCCUUCUCGAAAAAAUUAAAUAACUUUUUCCUCUUUAUUUUUCACUCCCUUCCCAAACAUAGCAUAGAGUAGGUGCACAUAUUGUUGUCAUUUAUCAUGGGCUAAUUCAAUCCACUUGGGUACUUGGUAUAAAUGUGCAAUAAACCAUUCUUAGGUCCUUGAAGCAUGCAACUUUGGAAUCCUUGGGCAUUGGAGGACCCUUUUCACCUGCUUAUGUAUGCUUUCUUUGUUCAACUUAAAAGUGUGCCAUGUAUUCGUCUUAAUGUGUUUGAAUAUACUUGAAUGGUUUGAUUUUGUUUGUCCACCAAUUGAGGCAUAAAACUGAUGCUUCUAAAAGUUAAUGCUCAACAUAGAUUGUAUGUGCAUGUGAUCACAUACGCAAGCAGGUCUAAAUGUGUGCAUUGGUUUUAAAUAAUAGUCAUUAUUUAAAGGUUUUUUGGCCUCCCGUUACCGAUCCAUCUGUUAUU